This is a long non-coding RNA of Vollenhovia emeryi, 1146 nucleotides long. RefSeq lists it as uncharacterized. Lineage: Eukaryota; Metazoa; Arthropoda; Insecta; Hymenoptera; Formicidae. The transcript has 2 exons. The record is from RefSeq and is a predicted model, not a curated record.
AAUUUAACACAAAGUCAUGAGGUCUUGAUAAGGAAAACCUGAUCAGGUAAUUUUAAUUAAACGAAAAUGCAAUCUUGUUCUAGUAUUCUACUGGUACUGUGAGAGUACAGCGCACAAUAAUAACUCUACAUCAACCACACAGUGGCGCUACGGUAGUCGUACCGCGUACCAAUACGGUGUACUAAUAACGUAUGCCUACAGUACGCACGUACGUGGUAGCUACGGUACUGAUACGUUUAGUACGACAUACGCUCACCAUACUAGUUCCGUGGAAGUACAUUGUUAUCUGGGAAUCUGUAUAGGUGCAUUUGCAUGCAAGAAUUCUCAGCGUGUCAUUGCUCGCCUCUGACAGCGUGGGAUAAAUACUCGUGCAGUGCCCUCAAGCUGUCGCCGGCUGAAGUAUUAGACGUGAAAAGUGACAGAUUGACAACACAAUUUAUUCUUGCGUGGAUUUUCGUAAUUAUUCCUUUUUAGUUCUGUUACGUGUGACCUAUUCGUGAAACCUCUAAAAAGCUCCGAAAACUAAGAUUAGCGAGGAAUUCUAAUCGUAGAAAGAUAUUUUCCACUCUUUUUGGCAGUGUCAAAUCAUGUGUUUUCCUGCAUAAUUAAGCUAACUUUGACGUUUACUGUAGAGUUGUUUAUUAGCUGCCAAGGGAAAAGGAUAGUUUACGGAGUCUUUUGGAAGUGUGCUAAAACGGACUAAUAAAGUGUACUUUUGGUCGAAUAUCUUUUUAUUUGGAAAUGCCACGCAAGAAUUCUUGCAUGGUGUGUCAUUUCUCGCUUCUGACGUCAAAAUUCAAUAUGGCCGCAGUGACAACCCAGGGGGUCUAUUACGGUUCUCGGAUUGGGUGAAAAUGACGAAAGUGAGUAGCUUUGUCUCUUUCUAACUGUCCCUUUAGUAAGAGACAGAGCCGCUCACUUUCGUCAUUUUCACCCAAUCCGAGAACCGUAAUAGACCCCAAGGAGCCUUAAAAUAAUCACCUUAGCGCUGACGCAUAUAUUUUUUUCGUUUGGAAGAUAACGGUAUCUUUAAACUUAUCGUUUAUAAAAAGAACACCUUGAAAUAUAUUUUGUAUAUUGUACCUACUGUAUAUUGUAUCUGUGUAUGCAUAGUGCAGUAUAAUAAAUUUUAUGUUUAUUACAUUA